Molecule: long non-coding RNA, 390 nt
Filed under: Citrus sinensis (sweet orange)
Lineage: Eukaryota; Viridiplantae; Streptophyta; Magnoliopsida; Sapindales; Rutaceae
Description: long non-coding RNA (CSIN_LNC004793)
Source: RNAcentral
GGGUUGCGGCUACCUUGUUCAAUUGUUUGUGUUUGUGUUUGUGAUUUAUGAAGUUGUGGCUGACAGCGUGUGUGUGUGUUAGGUUUGCGUCUUUGCGAGUGAAUUGUUGAGUGCAGGGUGUGUGUGUGUUGUGCACUUGCAGCGUGUGUGUGUGUUGUGCACUUGCAGCGUUUGUGUGUUCUGUGCAGCUCGUGUGUGUGCAGCGUGUGUGUCACAGUGUCAGUGUGUGUGCUGUGCAGCUUGUGACUUGUGUGUGUUGUGCAGUGUGCAGCUUGUGACUUCUAUGUGUGCAGCAGCGUAUGUGUGUGUGGCUUAGUGGCUGUGUGCUGUGCAGCUUGUGACUUCUAUUCUGUGUGUGUGUUGUGUAGCAGCGUAACAAAUUUGUUUGCC